AAUGUUAAACCUGUAUACAAAUUUAUAAAACAAAUUUUUCCAGCACAGCAAACACACAACCUAUUAUCCCAUCACAAAAGUCACAUCACAAACAAAAUUUUUUAUUAAAAGCUAAUCAUAUUAUCAUAUUUGAUUACAUUAUACUUUAAAAAUAUUAAAAACAUACAUAGCAAAUUCCUAAAUAAACAGUCUACGAGGUCUCAAGGGUCGACGGCAUCAUCAUCUCUACGAGUAGAAGUAUCGGCAACCUACAAGAAAAAAAAAACUUUAGAAACUAAGAAUACAAAAAUCAUUACACUCGUACAAGAAUAUACUAUAAUUACAUAAAAUAUAGAUUUAGUUAUUUACCGAAGGGACAAAUCUCUGUAAAAAAGAUGAAAUAUGGUCAAGCUGAUCUUGCAAAGAUUGUAUCUUCAACUCUUGGCUCUGCUUCAACUCCUCCAUAUCGGUCCUAUGACUCUGCCUCAUCUCCUCUAGCCUUGUCUCAUAUGACUGCUUUAUCUGUACCAUCUUUGCCUUCAGACUACAAACCUCUGCAGUGCUACUACCUUGUCUAGCAUCUUGGGUAUAUCGGCUCACUGCAGACAACUGGGUGGCGGUAACUCCAACACCAUAACCCCUCACUCGACCAUAACGUUCUGGGCCCAUUAAUUCGGUAUAGACCUGAGCCUCGACGCGACUGGCCGCAUCGAAUGAUGAUAACUCCCCGACACGCUCUGAAAUAAGAGUUGUAGCUCUUUCCUAUAUAUCUCUCAAAAAUAAAAAUCACAUUAAUAUUUAAAAAAAUUUAAAAUUUUUUAAAAAAUAUUCUGAACAAAGCAAAAAUGAAUACAUACAACUAUAUCUCUCGACUCGUCCCGGACAAAGCUGCCAUCUCGGUGGGUGUGAGUCAUCUUAUAAAACUCUACCUCACCAGGCUCCCUUCCAUGUAUUGGCAAACUAUAUAUCAUGAUACGUGCUAUAUGUUAGUAGAGUUUCAAAUAGUUUCAAAAAAACUUACGAAUUCAUUUCUACGUCUCGCAUAACUCUUCGAGCCUGAAGUGUGAGGAACUGCUUGAGAUGCUCGUGCAGCUCUACCAAUAUUAGAAUAUGUCUGCCAAAAUAAAAGUAUACAGUAUAAUAUGAUUCAAUGUAUAUAUUUGCAAUCCAUAUUAAUAAUAAAGAUAAUAUAAGAUAUUGAAACAAUAUACGAGACCUGCCCUCUUUCAGAAAACCAGUAGUGAAUAAGCUCCCUCCACUGCUGAGGGUAUACAUCAGGAGGACAAACACGAGCAACCUCCUCCUCUGUCAUACCUUCGCGCUUGUAGUCUGUCUUCAACUCCGCCUUAUAUUCUUUUCCAUUUACGGUUGAGGGACUUUAGCACCCAAUUAUGGCUCUCUGGAGGGAGUACAAACUUACCCUACAACAAGUGUCAAAAUGUUAUAAAAAUAUUAAAUCAAAAAUUAUGGUAGUAAGCAAAUUAACAUACAGGAGGUAUCAAAUUAAAAAGAAUAAAUUCAAUUCAUUACCUGUAUAAGUCUAAGAAGCUCAACCUUAUACGAAGCAAGCAUUUCAUUCCACUUCGUAUAGUUGAGCGGACACCGCUCACCAUUGCGUGCAACCGAUCCUAAAAAGCUUGAUAGAAGACUUCCAGCUCUAUUGAUGGGCUGCCCCAAUUUAUUGCAUUGGAUGAUGAUCUUCUCACCCUCACGAAGCUGCCACACAUCCUUUGCUUGAGUGGGUCCUCGUCUCGUUCUCACCGUCCCUUGUCCAUUUAUUAAAAUUAAAUAAAAUAUGCCUUUAAAAAUUGAAGACAAAUAUGAACAUAAAAUAUGAACUUUGAAUCGAAUUACCCUGGAUCCAGAGCUCAUCCAUAGCAACAUCCUCCCCUAGGCAAUCAGCAGGAGGCUCGCGCUGAGAUCCAAACUCGCGCUGCUGGUGCUCACAUGGCUGCUGGAACUGCAGGGACUGAUCAGAAGAAGAUCCGACCUGAGAAUGCUGGAACUCCAUAUUUCUAAAUCGUUUUCCUCGGGGCAUAUUGUUACCUGAUAUGCACAAAAAAGAAUUAAUAUUAGUUAAUUGAUAAAUUUAUACUAAAUGAAUUGCUAAUAAAAGAGAACACAAUAAUUCAUUCAACUAGAUAAAUUAGCAUAUGCAGGAAAAAGACAAGCAAUAAUGUAGGACGAAGAGUGUGGGGACUAACCAUUUCACAACUAUGAAGAAGAAAGUUGCCAAGAAAAACAAAUAUCUAGCAACUAAUAAUCCUGUAUCAAUUCUGAUGGCAAAAUCAGAUAGUUAUUAACCAUGCAGCGAAAUAAGGGCAGCUUUGGUUUAAAAGUGAACUAGACCUUAGUCGCUCGCGUAGAAGUAGUAUCAAAGGAUUGUUCUACUUGCCUGUAAAGGAGAAGCAUAAGAAGCUUGUAAACGAGAGUAGAUUUAUGCAAAAUUUACAUUGCAGAGAAAAGUAGGGAGAAAUUGGGAAAAGAAUCAGAUAAUCAUAAUGAAUGGCAAAAAUUAUAUAAAAAAUGGAUAGGAUAAAAUUAUUACACUACCUUUCCCAUAGACAAGAGAUGAAUAUGCGUUCUUUCUAGACAUUACUGAACCUGAAGCACUGCAUGAUCGAUUACAUGACUGGAGCUAGCAGUGCAAUCAGCAUUGUUUUGGCAUACAAUGCACAAUGUGAUUAUGCAAUUCUGAAGUAAAAGCUAUAUCACAAGAGAUUUAUCAGAACAAUUUAAAGAAUUUAACGAUGUGGUUCAAAGUUCACUAGUCACACGUUGUAGAGAGACAGCCUUGAAGAAGUUCCACAGUUAAAAGAUGCCUUGAAAGUGGUUGCGUACCUUUCUACCAUUGAUGCCAUGAAGAAGUUCCACAGUUAAAAGAUGCCAGCUUUCUAGUCACAGAUAUAGAGCUUCUGUUCAAAAAGACUGGCAUCCUUACAUAAGAUAGCUUGUCAAAAGAAAUGCAGCACACGAGUGGGUACACUGGCACAGGAACCUCAAUUUAGAAAAUCCCAGCUUGUAGAGUGGUGUCAUUCAGGCCCCAAUUGGCAGAGAGGGUUACACUCAAAGUGGAUGUCGAGACGAUGGACACAAUUUUGGUAGGAUUUCAUGCUAGUGGCUGGAUGGGCUCAGGAUGAUCGAUCGUUACAAACACUUGUUGUGUACGUUGGCAAAUAACUCCUUGCUAAAUAAGUGAAAUUUCACAGGAUAUGGUGAGCGUUAGAGAGGAUGCACGGCUUCUAAAAGACAAUUAAACAUAAGCAUGUUUCUAACCUGAGGUUGUCAUCCUCAAGAGCAGAAAAAUUUCGUGUGUGCGGAGCACAAACUAAAGCAAUGCGUAUGUGCUGGUGAACGGGAUUGCAAGCUUUAACCAGCCACAGGAGCCUCAAAACAGAGUAAGAAGCUGGGAGAUAACUUCCAUGAAGGCAAGAAAGAUGAUAAAGACCUCACUUUAAUUAAAUAAUUAACAUUCUUCCACAAAAAAAAAUAACUAACAUGCAAACUUGCCUACGAUUUAACUCAUACUUAAUAUGAGACUGGACAUUGCUAAUUAAAUUCCAAACUACCAGAUGAGAAAAAAAUAAUUAUGCUGGUGUUGGCUUUUUUUUCCAUCUGGUCUAGGCAAGUGCCAAGGGACUCGGGUCCUAAAAAACUCAGUUAGCUAGUGGAGAAAGAUACCGCAUCUUCCAUUUGAUGUGCACGGGCAUUCCAUCUGUAUCUGAUCAAUCGAAAAGAUGAUGAUGGAAAAUGAAGGGAUGAUAGAAAGUAGCAUGAUUCCAAAUAUCUUGACCUUCAAGGAUUUUUGUCAUCAUCACAUAGUUGUUCAAAGAUAGAAAAGGAGGUAAAGCACCAAGCUAUAGUAGAAGGCGCAACACUAGACUAUAGUAAAAAUGUAGCACUAGGCUACAGUUGAAACCUAACUCUACCUAUUUAUAGGAUAAAAGAUAGGUUAAAAAUAAAUGAUAAAGAUUCAUUGAUUGAUAGUCGAAGGAUCCAUAAUACAUAGUAUAAUCCCAUUAUCUAUACUAAAAUAGAAUAAUUGCCCACUCUGAUAGUUGUCGUCCAUGUCUAGCCUCCAUCUCUGGCCAUUCUAGUUACCAACAUCGUUUAUCUUUUCACUAUUGCACGAUUAUUAGAAUGCAUUAGCCGAAACUGAUAUUCAUAUUUAUCGGCCUCGAUAUACCGUUCGCUUUCAUCGGCCUAUUCCAUUGGCUAUAUUGUUUUCUUAAUCGUCUCGUAGCAAGGUCUUCUGCAUUUUUUGAAAUCCGAUUCACUUGUCCUUGUAGUUGAUUUCUACUAUCAUGACCAUUCCAUUGGUUAUAUUGUUUUCUUAAUCGUCUUGUAGCAAAGUCUUCUACAUUUUUUGAAAUACCAUUAAGAUCGAUUCACUUGUCCUUAUAGUUGGUUGCUACUAUCUUGACCAUUCAGCCAAGUAAUCAUCUUUUGGCCUAUCCCUCCUAAAAAUUUACCAUGGUUGAACUCUAUCAAACCUGGCAAAGAUCACACGGCUUUCGCUUAUAUGACUUCAUCAAAUUUGAUCCAUAUGGUGCCUACCUAUUGUUGUUUUUCGACUUGUUGAGUUAUGGUGCAAACAAUUGGUUAAUUAAGAAAGCUUAUAUAAAGUGGACAACUACCAAAGCUCCACCAAGGUGUUUUUCGGUCACUUUCAUUUGUUGUAAAGAAGAGAGAGAGAGAGAGAGAGAGAGUGGAGAGAGCUUAUCAUGUGUAAAAAUUAAUUCCACUAACAAAUCUUAAUUUGCUAUCUCAUUCUACAAUAGGGACAAACAUUAACCACUUCUAGGUUUAGUUCUUUUAGAGUCGAAAGCUGCUCUUGUCCAAGAUUCAUUACUUAAUUUCUGGAAGUUGGAUAAUGAUCUAAAUUCUGGAUAUAAUUUGACCUUAUCAAUUUAUCACUUAAAAAGGCCUCAAAAGUAUCAACUCUAGCGUACUAUAGUCUUUUAUUACUUUACCUUCUAACACUUUUUCUACAAGAUAUAACAGAAAGGAUUAUGCAUCGAUUUUUUGUUAGUGCUUAUAAUAAUUGGUUUUCUGUUUUACCAACUGUAAGGAGAAACUUUGAUCUAGGGAAGAAAUUUGCUGUGAGAAAUUCCCCCAAGGAUGUAGAUACAACAAUAUAACUUCAAAGAAGUGGUAAAAUCUAACUACAUACACUAGCUUAUAGUAAAAACAUGAUAAUUUUCAACCAUUGUUUAGAGCAAAAUCAACCAUUUUACUUGCUGCAUUUCUAGAUAAUGAACAAGACAUGGACUUCAAAGGGUCAUCACACCGUCGCAAUCAAAAUUCAUUAAGCAAUACAAGCUUAAACUAAACCAUCUACCAAACACAAUCACUAAUUCAAGUAAUAGUUAUACAACCCUUGGAUGGAAUAUAGGAGACCAUCUAUUUUACAUUCCUUCUUUUUAUCAUUCUCAAAUAGAAUGAAAGAAAAUAUUGUUUGAGGUCUCAUGCACACUAGUUUGGGAUUUAUAUGCACCGAUUUUAUUUUCUGCAUAAACUCGUUAGACUGAAGGAAAAUUGCCCCAAUCUCAUGUCUACCCUACUUUUUAACAAGUGGCAUGAUUAUCUUAGUACAAGGGCAGCAAGAGAGGUUGUCUAAGGAGCGCUUGAGUGUAUGCAGUCUUCCAAAUCAUAAGAAGUCUCUCUUAUAAGCAUCAGAUAACCAUACAUCAUUGGAGUGGAAACUUGCUGCAUUUUGGCAAUGCACUGAAGGUUUUAAUUCUAGGGACAAGAAGGAUAGUGGAAGCUUGCAACAAUCCUAACACUUCAAAUUCUGAUGUCCAUUGCUACAUAAAUUAUUCUAUUGGUGAUCAACAUAUGUUAAUGCUAAACUUAGUGGUUGAGCUUGUAAAUGUAAAGAGUGCAUUUUCAGCAAUGGAAUGAAAGAAACAGGCUUGAAUUUGUCACACAACAGCCAUCAAUUACUGAAUUAACAGACACUGAUACGAAGACAGACUCCAGCUUAUGAGGAAUAAGGUGUUACAGAUCAAGCGAUGAUUGACUAGGAAAUGAAAUGAUUAGAACACUCAUCACAGAAGUUUUGAAAGGUUAUUUUUGAAAGGCCUUAUUGUUAAGAGUAAGGCACGAUGAUCAGGGUAAUGGACCUUUUGCAAAUUAGCAGAUUUAUUACAUAAACAAAUCCACAAUCAUAUUAUACUGCAACUAAAUAUGAGGUUAUACCGCCCAUAAACUAAUUAGGUACUUCUCAAUGAUCCAACAAAUUGCAAUGUCAGUGGGGAGAACAAUCAACAUCUCCAUAUUUGGGAAAGCAAUCUUAAGCUAUGCAUGUCAUCAAAUUGCAUCCAAAUAGGAGAUCUGCGAAACAAAAUUUUUAACUAAGGCUCAUUCGGCAUAUAUGGUUGUAGUCAAAAAUAAGGAAAUGAAGUCAAAUUUGGCGUUCCCCCAUUGUAAGAAAAGUGAUGACCCUUGUAGAGUAAAACAAGAAAAGUGGCUGCGUGAUGCAGUGAAGCUAGAAAAUUGUCACUCAAAGUAUUAAGAAAAGACUACAUCAUUCAGAGUCAAUACCGCCCUUGUAGACUAAAACAAGAACAGGGGAUGCAUAACGCACUGAACGUGCAAAUUUUGUAAACCAAAGGAGAAAAUUAAAAAUAGGUUUCAAUGUUUCAUCAUUCAGAGUCAGCACUCCCCUGGUAGGCUAAAAAUAGUAAAAGAAAAGUCUCCAUCAUUUCCCCGUCAACAAUGCCCUUGGACGCUUAAGCAAUACCAGAGGAUACGUGACGCAGUGAACCAAGAAAAUUUCCAAGUCCAAGAACGGAGGAUUCCAGCAGUGCUGAAGAAUGACCGGAUCGAAGGUGUGUCACUGUUAGCAGUUUUCUACCAAGACAAAACUGGGGCAUGUAUUGGAAAGAAACUUUGGACUAUGCCAUAAUGUUAGCGUUUGUGUCCUGAGCCACCUGUUCAACGAGAAAAUCAGAACACGUUCUGUAAAGACAGCAUUCCCUUCAAACGCAUUAAAUACGCAUAGCAUUCCCUUCACCGUUGAACAGUUUUCUCCCGUUAUUUCUUUCGCUUUCCAUCUAUCCCUUUAAAUCCCAUCCAUCUUAUACAGAGAAGCGUAUCGAUCCCCCUCCUAUCCAUCCUCAUAAACUUAUUGCCGACCGCCACUCCCGCAACGCCACCUUUCCGCCCCCCACGUAGCCAUGCUCUUCUCGGCCGCUGCCCUGAUACCGCCCUCCUCGUCGGCGCUGCUGCGGCCUCGUCUACCCGUUUCUCUUCCCGGUACGCCCCCUUUCCUUCCAUCCAUCAGGCUCUUAAAGGAUCAUGAUUUAUUUGUUCCUGGUUUCCCCUGUUCUUUCCUCUUUCAUCCGUCGAGGUAUCAAACUAGAGUUUGGUUCGGUUUCGUCCGCUUUUUGUUCAAUUUUUUGAUGUUCGAAGAGCAGUGGAGGAGGACUACGAGACCGCCGGAAUGUUCUUUGACCCCUCAAUUAGCUAGGUUUGGGUCUAGAAGAUAGCAAUGACCAAUGAGGCAAUGGUGCAUCAUUUCAUCCAAAUGAUCUAAAUCUCUCGCUUUGUUCCAUGCAAACUGUGCUUGAGAUUUUCCUCCUAUUUCUAUCAGUGUACCGAAAAAGCCCCAAGUGUUAAUGAAGUGUGACCAUAAAUGGUUUUAGAUGGAUUAGCAGGCUUUGAGAAGUUUUUUUUUUUUUUGUCUGUCUCUCUCUCUCUCUCUUCUCUUUCAAGCGCCGUCUGAUGGAUCCAUGAUAAUUUCUUUCCUUUUUCUUCCUUGAACAAGUGGCAAUGGUGUACUUAUCAGUGGUUUUAGAUGGAUAGAUUACGUCGAGAUCUAAGCUGUCUUUAUUAUUAUUAUUAUUAUUAUUAUUUUCUUUUUCCUUUCAAAAGAAAGUAGGAUUUGAGAUUCUGGCAAAUGAUGCAAGUUGUUUCAUAUUCUGAUCAUGUGCCAUGAAACAAGGGUAAUUGAUAUCUUCCCUAAAUAAUGCAGUUAUUUAGUGAGGGAAAUUUGAUCAAAGAAACUUUAGCUCUUUAUCUUCUUCCUGCUCUCAUAUAUAAGCCGUUGUUGUAAAUUUGGUCAGUCCUUUCUAUGUGGAAAUGAAAGAAGUGUAACAGAGAAAAUAUUAUAAAUAAUAUUUAUUUAUACACAUAAUAUUAAGGUUUUAAUCAGAUAAGAUCAGGGCCAUCCAUCCUGCUACUCCAUAAUUUAUCUUUAUUAUUUUUGGAGGAAAUAUUUCUAUAAGGCGGUAACCCAGGCCUCGUGCAGCCUUUUCUCGUUGUCUUCUUUCUACACGGGACAUGGGUGGUCCUAAUCAAGAGGAAAUGAGGAAUGGAUGAAAUGAUGAUUUGCUGUUUGUGCUCGUGUACCAGGUCCGUCUAAUCUAGCUGUCGUACGGAGGCCAGAGGGUAACCUAUGUCUUGCCCGCUGGAGGUGCCAUGCAAUAUCCAAAGGAGGCGCUCAAGGUACUGAUGCUCUUUAAAGCUCUUCUGAAUCUCUUCCAUAAACAAAAAAAAAAAAAAAAAACAACUGUAAGAGAGACAAUGGAAUAUUUUAUUUUCUUUUAUUUUGUUUUAUCUCCUUGUUGACGGGGAGCUGCCUCGGGAACUCCGGGACGUCUUGUUUUCCGAUUUUAUUGGGUGUAUCCGUACCCGUGUUGUAUAGAUCGCCUGGUUUAGACAAAAAAAAAAAAAAAAAAAAANAAAAAAAAA
This 8676-nucleotide long non-coding RNA is filed under the name Phoenix dactylifera (date palm). RNAcentral's name for it is "long non-coding RNA (PDAC_LNC008422)". The record is from RNAcentral. Lineage: Eukaryota; Viridiplantae; Streptophyta; Magnoliopsida; Arecales; Arecaceae.